RNAcentral lists this ribosomal RNA (554 nucleotides) under uncultured archaeon. RNAcentral's name for it is "bacterial SSU rRNA". It matches the Rfam family "Archaeal small subunit ribosomal RNA", at positions 733 to 1300 of the family's 1478-position model. The record is from RNAcentral.
AUACCCCUGUAGUCCUAGCAGUAAACACUGCUCACUAAACAUCAGUACCUCCUCGAGAGGUAUUGGUGCUGUAGGGAAGCCGAAGAGUGAGCUACCUGGGAAGUAUAGUCGCAAGACCGAAACUUAAAGGAAUUGGCGGGGAGGCACUACAACGGNNGACGCGUGCGGUUCAAUUAGACUCUACACCGUGAAUCUCACCAGGAGCGACAGCAGAAUGAAGGUCAGUCUAAAGGGCUUACCUGACACGCUGAGAGGAGUUGCAUGGCCGACAUAAGCCUGUGUCGUGAGAUGACUUGUUAAAUCAAGUAACAGGCGAGACCCCUGUGUUUAAUUUCUACGAUAAGAGCACAUUAAACAGACUGCCUUGGUAACAAGGAGGAGGGUGGGGGCGAUGUUAGGUGGGUACAGCCCGAAACCCCUGGGCAACACGCGCGCGGCAAUGCCAGAUUCAAUGAGAUGCAACUCUGAAAGGAGAAGCUAAUCUCAUAAAAUCUCGCUUAGUUCAGAUUGAAGUUUGUAACCCAACUUCAUGACGCUGGAAUCCGUAGUAAUCG